ACCCUGAACGCGCCUGAUCUCCUCUGAUCUCGGAAGCUAAGCAGGGUC
Ribosomal RNA from Dasypus novemcinctus (nine-banded armadillo), 48 nucleotides. Lineage: Eukaryota; Metazoa; Chordata; Mammalia; Cingulata; Dasypodidae. The record is from Ensembl.